Molecule: unclassified non-coding RNA, 262 nt
Filed under: plant metagenome
Description: partial contains small subunit ribosomal RNA, internal transcribed spacer 1, and 5.8S ribosomal RNA
Source: RNAcentral
UCUCCGUUGGUGAACCAGCGGAGGGAUCAUUACCGAGUUUACAACUCCCGAACCCCUAUGUGAACGUUACCAAACUGUUGCCUCGGCGGGAAAUUCAUGCCCCGGGCGCGUCGCAGCCCCGGACCAAGGCGCCCGCCGGAGGACCAACCAAAACUCUUUUGUAUGUCCCUCGCGGACUUUUAUAAUUCUGAACCAUCUCGGCGCCCCUAGCGGGCGUUUCGAAAAUGAAUCAAAACUUUCAACAACGGAUCUCUUGGCUCUC